This 322-nucleotide ribosomal RNA is filed under the name uncultured eukaryote. Its description in RNAcentral is "partial 18S ribosomal RNA". It matches the Rfam family "Eukaryotic small subunit ribosomal RNA", at positions 1470 to 1796 of the family's 1831-position model. The record is from RNAcentral.
GCCUUAGAUGUUCUGGGCCGCACGCGUGCUACACUGAGUGGAUCAGCGGGUCAGGUUGCGCGAAAGCGUUUCCUAAUCUUUAAAUCCGCUCGUGAUGGGGAUUGACGGUUGCAAUUUUCUGUCAUGAACGAGGAAUACCUUGUAAGCGCGGGUCAUCAUCCCGCGCUGAAUACGUCCCUGCCCUUUGUACACACCGCCCGUCGCUCCUACCGAUUGAGUGGUCCGGUGAGGCUUUGGGAUCUGAGCGGAAAGAGCGUUUCGCUGUUUCUGCUCGGAAAACUCAGUCGAACCUUAUCAUUUAGAGGAAGGAGAAGUCGUAACA